Molecule: long non-coding RNA, 286 nt
Filed under: Meriones unguiculatus (Mongolian gerbil)
Lineage: Eukaryota; Metazoa; Chordata; Mammalia; Rodentia; Muridae
Description: lncRNA (ENSMUGG00000006337.1)
Source: RNAcentral
CCUCAGGGUCAUUUCCUCCCCAAAUACCAAACAGGGAAGGACUGGAGGGCUGCUGAUGGGUUCGAGGCGCCAAGGGCUGCACUUCCUGCUGGUUCUGCUGUCAGGGUGAUGGGCUUUGUGGCAUCUGUUGUGGACUGGCUCUGAGAUUUGUGGAGGCCUACCCAAGAGUUUGCCUUUAGCCCAGUGGAAUAACUCAGCUCAUCGGGUGGCCUGGCCGGGUAGAACAAAGGACCUUACUCUUGCUGGUUGUCUGCUGAGAAGACCCUCGACUCUGAGUGACCCAUAG